AGCCGCCGCGGGAACACCGGCGGCCCGAGUGGUGAUCGUGAUUAUGGGUCUAAAGGGUCCGUAGCCGGUUUGGUCAGUCCUCCGGGAAAUCUGAUAGCUCAACGUAUUAGGCUUUCGGGGGAUACUGCCAGACUUGGAACCGGGAGAGGUAAGAGGUACUACAGGGGUAGGAGUGAAAUCUUGUAAUCCCUGUGGGACCACCUGUGGCGAAGGCGUCUUACCAGAACGGGUUCGACGGUGAGGGACGAAAGCUGGGGGCACGAACCGGAUUAGAUACCCGGGUAGUCCCAGCCGUAAACGAUGCUCGCUAGGUGUCAGGCAUGGCGCGACCGUGUCUGGUGCCGCAGGGAAGCCGUGAAGCGAGCCACCUGGGAAGUACGGCCGCAAGGCUGAAACUUAAAGGAAUUGGCGGGGGAGCACAACAACGGGUGGAAGCCUGCGGUUUAAUUGGACUCAACGCCGGACAACUCACCGGGGGCGACAGCAAUAUGUAGGCCAAGCUGAAGACUUUGCCUGAAUCGCUGAGGAGUGGUGCAUGG
Molecule: ribosomal RNA, 539 nt
Filed under: uncultured archaeon
Lineage: Archaea
Description: bacterial SSU rRNA
Rfam family: Archaeal small subunit ribosomal RNA
Source: RNAcentral